This 100-nucleotide transfer RNA is filed under the name Candidatus Cryptobacteroides equifaecalis. RNAcentral's name for it is "tRNA-OTHER". It matches the Rfam family "tRNA". Rfam says of the family: Transfer RNA (tRNA) molecules are approximately 80 nucleotides in length. Their secondary structure includes four short double-helical elements and three loops (D, anti-codon, and T loops). The record is from RNAcentral. Lineage: Bacteria; Pseudomonadati; Bacteroidota; Bacteroidia; Bacteroidales.
CCCCCGUAGUUCAACGGACAGAACAGUUCCAUAGGGUUACUAUACUUACCAUGGACAGGAAGAUGGAGCAGAUGCGGGUUCGAAUCCCGCCGGGGGACCA